This 429-nucleotide ribosomal RNA is filed under the name Fusobacteriota bacterium. RNAcentral's name for it is "Fusobacteria bacterium partial 16S ribosomal RNA". It matches the Rfam family "Bacterial small subunit ribosomal RNA", at positions 355 to 776 of the family's 1533-position model. The record is from RNAcentral. Lineage: Bacteria; Fusobacteriati; Fusobacteriota.
UGGGGAAUCUUCCACAAUGGACGAAAGUCUGACGGAGCAACGCCGCGUGAGUGAAGACGGCCUUCGGGUUGUAAAGCUCUGUGAUCCGGGACGAAAGAGCCUGAGGUGAAUAGCCUAAGGAAGUGACGGUACCGGAAAAGCAAGCCACGGCUAACUACGUGCCAGCAGCCGCGGUAAUACGUAGGUGGCAAGCGUUGUCCGGAAUUAUUGGGCGUAAAGCGCGCGCAGGCGGCUUCCUAAGUCCAUCUUAAAAGUGCGGGGCUUAACCCCGUGAUGGGAUGGAAACUGGGAAGCUGGAGUAUCGGAGAGGAAAGUGGAAUUCCUAGUGUAGCGGUGAAAUGCGUAGAGAUUAGGAAGAACACCGGUGGCGAAGGCGACUUUCUGGACGAAAACUGACGCUGAGGCGCGAAAGCGUGGGGAGCAAACAGG